AAGACCUUGCACUUUUGGAGCGGCCGAUGUCUGAUUAGCUAGUUGGUGGGGUAAUGGCCUACCAAAGCUUCGAUCAGUAGCUGGUCUGAGAGGACGGCCAGCCACACUGGGACUGAGACACGGCCCAGACUCCUACGGGAGGCAGCAGUGUGGAAUUUUGGACAAUGGGCGCAAGCCUGAUCCAGCCAUGCCGCGUGAGUGAAGAAGGCCUUCGGGUUGUAAAGCUCUUUCAGCCGGGAAGAAAAGGUUGCGACUAAUAAUCGCAAUUCAUGACGGUACCGAAAGAAGAAGCACCGGCUAACUACGUGCCAGCAGCCGCGGUAAUACGUAGGGUGCGAGCGUUAAUCGGAAUUACUGGGCGUAAAGGGUGCGCAGGCGGUUUUGUAAGUCAGAUGUGAAAUCCCCGGGCUUAACCUGGGAACU
This 423-nucleotide ribosomal RNA is filed under the name uncultured bacterium. RNAcentral's name for it is "bacterial SSU rRNA". It matches the Rfam family "Bacterial small subunit ribosomal RNA", at positions 207 to 622 of the family's 1533-position model. The record is from RNAcentral.